RNAcentral lists this non-coding RNA (26 nucleotides) under Rattus norvegicus (Norway rat). The record is from RNAcentral. Lineage: Eukaryota; Metazoa; Chordata; Mammalia; Rodentia; Muridae.
UUCAAGCAGACUCCUGCCAGCAAGGU